Molecule: ribosomal RNA, 2942 nt
Filed under: Thalassiosira profunda
Lineage: Eukaryota; Bacillariophyta; Thalassiosirophyceae; Thalassiosirales; Thalassiosiraceae
Description: large subunit ribosomal RNA
Rfam family: Bacterial large subunit ribosomal RNA
Source: RNAcentral
UUAUAACUUUUCUAAUCGUAAAGGAGUUUUAAAGAAUUAAAACAAAUUUUAAUUGUUUCUCAAUUAAAAUUUUUCUAAGCUAGUGAAUUGAACCAUCUAAGUAACUAGACAAAAAAUCAACCGAGAGACUGUAAGUAGUGGUGAGCGAAAUUGGUAUAGAUUAUUCUUAAAAGCUUUAUAUAAUAUGUUUAAAUCUUAACGACCAAAGAAGGUAACAUCAACUGCAAAAUGUGAAGUCCUGUGAACCAUAUUCAAAAUUUUUAAGAUAUAAAGUAAAGUGAUACAUGUCAUGUAUUACUUUAAGAUUGGGGUACCACCCUCAAAAUCUAAAAGAUAUUAAUGAUUGAUAGUGAACAAGUACCGUAAGGGAAUAGGCAUAUUAAAUUUAAUGUUUAUAAUCUGUUGUAGCUUGGUUUAAAGCGACAGCGUUCCUUUUGCAUAAUGAAUCAAUGAGUUUAUAUCAAUGGCAAGCUUAAACGAUUUAGUGUAGGCUAAAAAAAAUUAAGUUUUAAAUUGCGUAUGUACAGAUAAUUUGGCAAUUUUAACCUAACUUCUUGAAUCAGUCUUUGAUAUAAGACCCGAAACUAAGUGAUCUAACCAUGAACAGGCUGAAUUUAAAGCGGUAACGCUUAUUGAAAGGCCCAACUUGUGUAUGUGGAAAAAUACUAAGAUGAUUUGUGGUUAGGGGUGAAAGGCCAAACAAACUUAGAGAUAGCUGGUUUUCUGCGAAAUCUAUUUAAGUAGAGCGUUUAAAGUUGCUAGAUUGCCCUAAAAAAUUUAUUUUUUAGGCUUGCUAGCGUAAGCAUCAAAGUGCUUAAAACUUCUUUAUUUUAAGGUAGAGCACUCAAUAAAUAAGGGGGGCGUAAAGCUUUACCGCAUUUAAUGAAACUCCGAAGAUAAAAUAAAAGAAUUUAAACAGACAGACUAUGAGUGCUAAGGUUCAUAGUCCAAAGGGAAACAGCCCAAAUUAUUUGUUAAGGCCCUCAAAAAUAAUUAAGUGAAAAAGAAAGUAAAAAAAUGUUAACAACUUAUAUGUAGGCUUGGAAGCAGCCAGCUCUUCAAGAGAGCGUAACAACUCAUUGGUUUAGCUUUUUAGCAUCGAAAAUGUAUAGGGACUAAAAUUAUUUGCCGAAACAAUAAAUUUAAACUAAUUUAUAAAAAAACAAUAACUUAAAGGCAACGUAGUUGCUGAUAAAUACCGCUUUCUUAAAACCAAUCAGACCAUUUAACGUCUCUUGGUCUUCAGAAGGCUUGUGUGUAAACUAGUUUAAAUGGUAGCAGAACGUUUUGUAUAUUAAAGAAAAUUUAUAGUAAUAUAAAUUGAAAAAAUCAAAAAUGAAAAUAUUGAUAUGAGUAGCGAAAAACGUUUAAGUGAUGAAUAAACUACGUCACCUUAAGUUCAAGGUCUAUAGGGAAACGGCUAAUCUUCCCUAAUAACAAUCGGUCCCUAAGAUAGCAACGAAAGUUAUAAUUGAUGGGUAAUAAAUUUUUAUUAUAUUUUAAAGUGACGAAAUACAAAUUAAAUUUUUAAUUAUGAAAGUGCUGCUUUUUUAAUCUACAAAAAACUGACACAUUUACAAAUACUCGAUUGGAAUUUGUCUCAGUUGAGAUUAACGCACACUAAAGCCAAUUAAUAUACUUAGUGCUUUAAUUAAAUUUUUUUUAGUAUUUUCAGGAAAUAGCUUAAAAUAAUACCGUACUGCAAACCGACACAGGUGAACAAAUUUAGUAAAUUAAGGUGCUUGAGUUAAUUGUAUUGAAGGAACUCGGCAAAAUGGCUCCGUAACUUCGGGAUAAGGAGUAGCUUUUUAUAGUUAAAAACUUAAGAAGCUGUCACAAAAUCGAGGACAGCGACUGUUUAAUAAAAACACAGGUCUCUGCAAAUUUGAAAAAAGAUGUAUAGAGACUGACGCCUGCCCAGUGCUGCAAGAUUAAUAGGAAAAGUCUUGGCUUUAACUUUAACCCCCAGUAAACGGCGGCUGUAACUCUGACGGUCCAAAGGUAGCGAAAUUCCUUGGCAUUUAAUUGGUGUCCUGCAUGAAUGGCGUAACGACUGUCCUACUGUCUCCAGUACAAUCUCAGUGAAAUUGAAAUGUCUGUGAAGAUGCAGACUACUCUCGGCUAGACGGAAAGACCCUGUGCACCUUUACUAUAGUUAUAAAUUGUAAUAAAAUUUUUUUUGUGUAGGAUACGUGGUAAGUUUUUAUUAGACUUUAACGCAAGUUACUUGUUCAAACACAACUGAAAUACCACUCUUAAAAACUUUUGUUACUCAUAAUUUCAAACAGUUUAUAAUGGGUAGUUUGACUGGGGCGGUCGCCUCCUAAAAAGUAACGGAGGCGUACGAAGGCAAGCUCAAAUUGAAAAAAACCAAUUUAAGAGCACAAUAGUAUAUUGCUUGCCUGACUGAAAGAUUGACAUAUCGAACAGAGAUGAAAGUCGGUUAUAGUGAUCCGAUGACUCUGAGUGGAAAAGGUCGUCGCUCAACGGAUAAAAGGUACGCCAGGGAUAACAGGCUAAUCAUUCUUUAGAGACCCUAUCGAUGGAGUGGUUUGGCACCUCGAUGUUGGAUUAUCGCAUCCUGGAGCUGUAAGUGGUUCCAAGGGUUUGGCUGUUCGCCAAGAAAGGCGGUACAUGAUCUGAGUUUAGAACGUUGUAAAACAGUUUGGUCCCUAUCUACCGUGAGUGUUAAAAAUUGAAAGGAGUAAACCUUAGUACGAGAGGACCGGGAAAAGUAAAUCUCUGGUGAAUCGAUUGUUGUUUAUUUAAAAGCAUUGUCGAGUAGCUAUAUUUAUAAUAGAUAAUUGUUGAAAGCAUCUAAACAAGAAACUAACCUUGAAAAAAAUUUUUAGAAAGUCGUAAAAGAUUAUUACGUGAUAGACUUAAUGUGUAAGAAUUGCAAGAUUUUUAGCAAAUAAGCACUAAAAUUUAAAUUGUUUAAG